RNAcentral lists this ribosomal RNA (63 nucleotides) under Trichoderma atroviride. RNAcentral describes it as "partial 28S ribosomal RNA". The record is from RNAcentral. Lineage: Eukaryota; Fungi; Ascomycota; Sordariomycetes; Hypocreales; Hypocreaceae.
GUUGACCUCGGAUCAGGUAGGAAUACCCGCUGAACUUAAGCAUAUCAAAAAACCGGGAGGAAA